AUGGACAUAAUACACAAAAUAUAAACGUAGACCAACACUCUACACUAAAAGAGAUAAAAAAUAACGCCUAGAGGAGGAGGGAAAUUCUGAGGAGAAGCUUCAGCUGCGCUGAACUCCAAACAAAGAACCCCACCCCCGAAAACUCCAUCUUUUUCACACCACCCCUCCCCCCCAGAAAAACUCGAUCUCACACUAAAACCAUCUUACCUCCCAUAUAGAACAUCUACGAAAUUGCUCAAAAUCUGGCCAAAAGAAAUGAAAUCCACCAAAAUAGUAGCGACAAAAAAGGAGUAUCAAACAGUCCCAAUCAGUUAAAACUCUGGCGAAAAUCAGUCGAGUACUCGAGUUCCGUCGAAGGAUCUGAAGAGUUGGUUUUGUUUGAAGUUCCGAUUUUAAUAGAAGAUCGUAGGUUCUGAUUUCUAGUUCAGUUUUCAGGGAGUUCAUCCACGCUGUAUUGUUUAGUUAUGUGGAUUUGGAAGGAUCUCUAUUUAUUUUCAAGGGAAGUGUUCAACCGCGAUUUUAGUUUAUUGUUAUGUACCGCAGAAAUACAAGUCAAUUACUCUGUUCUUGUUUUAAUAAUGAUUUUAAACACAAUUACUUUUCACUUGCUUUCAGUGUUUGGGCUGAUUUGAACAUAUCUUGUUUUGCUCUUGAAAAAUGUUUGCAGACUUGAAGCUUAUGUGUGAUUGAUUAUUUGUUGAUAAGAGUAAUUCAAUAUCUUAGAAUUAACUGUUUAGAUCCUAAUAUUCUUCUACUGGUUUGGAUUGUUAUGCGAAAGUUCUUUUUCGCAAAGUCAGACCGUGGCUAUUCUCGUGCACUUGCUUCAGUAAAGUGUUCUUUGUGUAAGGUUCA
Molecule: long non-coding RNA, 852 nt
Filed under: Nicotiana benthamiana
Lineage: Eukaryota; Viridiplantae; Streptophyta; Magnoliopsida; Solanales; Solanaceae
Description: long non-coding RNA (NBEN_LNC038491)
Source: RNAcentral